RNAcentral lists this ribosomal RNA (538 nucleotides) under uncultured fungus. RNAcentral describes it as "eukaryotic LSU rRNA". The stretch from base 200 to 353 matches the Rfam family "5.8S ribosomal RNA". Lineage: Eukaryota; Fungi. The record is from RNAcentral.
GCUGUCGCUGACUUUUUGACACAAAAGUYGUGCACGCCGGAGCGUGUCCUCUCACAUAAAAUCCAUCUCACCCUUUUGUGCACCACCGCGUGGGCACCUUUUGGGAUCGAACCGAUCCUGGAGGGGGCUUGCGUUUUCACACAAACCCCUUUUAAAAAGUGUAGAAUGACCCCAUUUUGCGAUGACACGCAAUCAAUACAACUUUCAACAACGGAUCUCUUGGCUCUCGCAUCGAUGAAGAACGCAGCGAAAUGCGAUACGUAAUGUGAAUUGCAGAAUUCAGUGAAUCAUCGAAUCUUUGAACGCACCUUGCGCCCCUUGGUAUUCCGAGGGGCACACCCGUUUGAGUGUCGUGAAAAUCUCAACCUUCUCGGUUUUCUUCUGGACACCGAAGGAGGCUUGGACUUUGGAGGACUUUGCUGGCGUCUCUCUCUUUUUGAGAGCCAGCUCCUCUUAAACGAAUUAGCGGGGUCCUCUUUGCCGAUCCUCGACAUGUGAUAAGAUGUUUCCAUGACUUGGUUUCUGGCUCUGUUGCCUU